Molecule: ribosomal RNA, 503 nt
Filed under: uncultured bacterium
Lineage: Bacteria
Description: partial 16S ribosomal RNA
Rfam family: Bacterial small subunit ribosomal RNA
Source: RNAcentral
AACGAACGCUGGCGGCACGUUUUAAGCAUGCAAGUCGAAUGGCAGCAGGGGCAACUCUGUGAGAAUGGCGAACGGGUGAGUAACACGUAGGUGAUCUGCCUUGAGGAUGGGGAUAGCCUGUGGAAACACAGGGUAAUACCGAAUGAGCUGACGAGACUUUGGUUUUGUUAGUAUAGGUGCUACGGCACCGCCUUGAGAGGAGCCUGCGGCUGAUUAGCUAGUUGGUGGGGUAAGAGCUUACCAAGGCGACGAUCAGUAGCCGGCCUGAGAGGGUGUACGGCCACACUGGAACUGAGACACGGUCCAGAAUCCUACGGGAGGAAGCAGCUAAGAAUCUUCCGCAAUGGGCGAAAGCCUGACGGAGCGAUGCCGCGUGAUCGAUGAAGGUCGAGAGAUUGUAAAGAUCUUUUCUACAUGAGGAAUAAGUCUGGGAGGGAAUGCCCGGAUGAUGACGUUAGUGUAGGAAUAAGCCCCGGCUAAUUACGUGCCAGCCGCCGCCGUAA